AUUGAACGCUGGCGGCAUGCCUUACACAUGCAAGUCGAACGGCAGCACGGGAGCAAUCCUGGUGGCGAGUGGCGAACGGGUGAGUAAUAUAUCGGAACGUGCCCAGUCGUGGGGAUAACGUAGCGAAAGCUACGCUAAUACCGCAUACGAUCUAUGGAUGAAAGCGGGGGAUCGCAAGACCUCGCGCGAUUGGAGCGGCCGAUAUCAGAUUAGGUAGUUGGUGAGGUAAAGGCUCACCAAGCCGACGAUCUGUAGCUGGUCUGAGAGGACGACCAGCCACACUGGGACUGAGACACGGCCCAGACUCCUACGGGAGGCAGCAGUGGGGAAUUUUGGACAAUGGGCGCAAGCCUGAUCCAGCAAUGCCGCGUGCAGGAUGAAGGCCUCGGUUGUUAACGUA
Molecule: ribosomal RNA, 400 nt
Filed under: uncultured bacterium
Lineage: Bacteria
Description: bacterial SSU rRNA
Rfam family: Bacterial small subunit ribosomal RNA
Source: RNAcentral